GGAUAAGGAGAAACUGAUCACGAGAGAAGAAUAUGACAUCCGAAGCACAAGAUCGCAUAGUAAAAAGCUGAGAAAAGGAAGAUGUCUGAGAGAUGUUAAAAAAUAUAGUUUCCCGCAGAGAACAGCUGGUGGAACCAAUUUGUGAUGUGAUCAACAGCUCUUUAAUGGAAGGGAAAGUACCAAGGGUAUGGAAAAGAGCAAAUAUAGUGCCAAUAUACAAAGGAGAAAAAAGACUGAACCCCUAAAUUAUAGACCAGUCACUGACUAGCACUGUGGAAAAAAUCCGCAAAAUUGUGACCAAGGAAAAAUGGGUGGAAUAUCUGAAGGAAAAUAAAAUUAUAAAUAACUCCCAAUUUGGAUUUAGGAAAAGGAAGAUCAUGUAUAACAAAUCUACAAAGUUUCUAUACAAGAGUAAUAGACGAGGUACGUACAAGGAAGAGAUGGAUGGGUUGACUCAGUGUAUUUGGAUAUCAAAAAUGCUUUUGACAGAGUAUCACAUAAAAGACUUACGGAAAACAGAGCAUAUAGGAGGAAUACAAGGAAAUAUCUCAAGCUGGAUGAGGGACAACUUAAUGGGAAGAGAAAUGAGGACUGUGGUAAGAGGCUUCAAGUUGGAGCACAGUAACUAAUGACAUACCACAGGGUUCAGUGCUGGUACCUAUAAUGUUCCACAUAUAUGUUAAUUAUAUACAAGAGGGCUUAGUAGCUACAUAAAUUUGUUUGCAGACAAUGCAAAACUAUUGAGAGUAAUAAAGAGCAAAGAGGACUGUAUGGAAUUGCAAGAUAUUGACAAGAUCUGGGAGUGGAGCCAAAAGAGAAAAUUAUAUUUUAAUGCUAAGAAAUGUCAUGCGAUGGAAAUAGGUAAAAGUAAUAGAAGACCUACAUGGGAAUAAGAAAUGGGAGAAGAGAUUAUAAUGAAGAGAAAGGAAGAGAAAGACCUGGGAGUGUUUAUAUAAGACACCCUGACCCCAGAAAGACACAUAAAUGGGUUAUUUACUUCAACAUAAAAGAUACUAACAAAUACCAGGUGGCACUUACAGCCGGUUCCUGAAUUACUUCUUUUUGGUCCGUUAGGCAGCCAACCAAGCAAUUUGUGUCCUGUGCCGUUCCAGAAUGCCUUUUUCCAUCUGUUUUUUGUCCGCUAGUGGACCAAAGAUUGGAACUUUGGUCGAGGGGUUUUGCAAAACACUGGUCAAGUGUCCGGGCGACCAAAGCUACCGCCUUGUAUUUUAAAUUUCCAAAUGUAAAAAGAAGCUAACUGUAAUUAAACUUAUUUCAGUCUAUUUACCAUGUCAAAUUUUUUUGAUGGUACAACAAAGUUUUUCUUAUGCUAUAUUGAGCAUACAUUUUAAUUUUUGAAGUCUACUGUAGUCGCCUUGUGAGUUCACGCCAAACAUCAACAACAGCCUAAUCGACUCGUCACAUCUCUACUUCACUGACUAAAUUUGGUACCAUGGCUGCAUUAGAAGAAAUCAUAGAUGAAGAAAUGUAUGAAAUGGAAGAAUUGCGACGAGUGAGGAUUCCACGCAUAUAUAAGAUCUUAUGGUGUAUAAUGUAGGUAUUGCAAAGUACAAAUAGUAUGUAAGAAUGAAUAAACUUAACCAUCUACU
RNAcentral lists this long non-coding RNA (1610 nucleotides) under Portunus trituberculatus (swimming crab). Its description in RNAcentral is "uncharacterized LOC123513512". Lineage: Eukaryota; Metazoa; Arthropoda; Malacostraca; Decapoda; Portunidae. The record is from RNAcentral.